GAAGAUGUGGAGAAAUGAGAUCCCUCACACAUUGCUAGUGGGAAUGUAAAAGGGUACAGCUGCCGUGGAAGUUUGGCAGUUCCACCUUAAGCUAAACACAGAAGCACGACAGGACCCUGAAAUUCCACUCUUAGUAUAGACUAAAACAAAUUAAAUACACUUGUUCAGACAAAAGCUUGCACAAGAAUGUUCACAGCAGCACUAUUCACAACCCCAACAGUGGAAACAACCCCUAUGUCCACCACUGAUGAAUGGAUAAACAAAAUGUGGGUAUAUCCAUACAAUGGAAUAUUAUUCAGUCUCAUAAAAAGAAACAAAAUACCGACACAUGCUACAACAUGGAUGAACCUUGAAAACAUUAUGCUGAGUAGAAGAAGCCAGACACAAAAGGCCAUAUAGUGUACAAUCCCAUUUAUAGGAAAUGUUCAGAAUGGGGAGAUUUUUAGAGACAGAAUGCAGAUUGCUGGCUGCCAGGGGCUGGGAGUCAGGGACUGAGGAGCGGUGUGGAACUGGGGGGUGGUGACAGUCAAGAAGCAUUUUCUUUUUUUUUCUUUUCUUUUCUUUUUUUUUUUGAGAUAGGGUCUCACUCUGUCACCCAGGUUGGAGUACAGUGGCAUGAUCUCCGCUCACCACAGCCUCAACCUCCUGAGCUCAAGCAGUCCUCCCACCUCAGCCUCCCAAGUAGCUAACUACAUGGGCACACCAUCACAAGAACUCAUUUUUGUAUUUUUUUUUUGUAGAUACAGGGUCUCCCCAUGUUGCCCAGGCUGGUUUUGAACUCCUGGGCUCAAGCAAUCCACCCGCCUCAGCCUCCCAAAGUGUUGGGAUUACAGGCAUGAGCCACCGUGCCCAGCCUGCACAGCAUUUUCAAUGUACUAAAUGCUGCUAAAUUAUACACUUUUUAAGGCCAGGUGCAGGGCUCACGCCUGUAAUCCCAGAACUUUGGGAGGCCAAGGUGGGCGGAUUGCCUGAGCUCAGGAGUUUGUGACCAGCCUGGGCAACAUGGUGAGACCCCAUCUCUACUAAAAACACAAAAAAUUAGGCAGGCGUGUUGGCACACACCUGUAAUCCCAGCUACUUGCGAGGCUGAGACAGGAGAAUCACUUGAACACAGGAGGCAGAGGUUGCAGUGAGCCGAGAUUGCACCACUACACUGCAGCCUGGGUGACAGAGUGAGACUGUCUCCUAAAUAAAUAAAACAUUUUAAAAUGGUUAAAAUGGCAACUUUUAUGUGUACUCUGCCAGAAUUCUCUUAAGUUAAAAAAAAAUGUGAGUUUUGAACCUCCCCUCCAAGGGCCUGGGAGCUGCCAACACAGAGUCAGCCACAGUGUUUCCAGAUGGACAGAACGAAUCAAAAAGAUGUCUGCCAGACACUAUGCCAACAGGAAGAUGGGACUCAAGUUGUUUUUAAAAUUUUUUGUGCCUUGGCCUGCUGGAGAAAUAAAAGCUCUGAACUUGAGUUCACAUAGGCCUGAAUGUAAAUGCUGGUUCCAACACUGGCUGUGUGACCUUGGGCAAAUCACUGAGUCUUUCUGGGCCUCAGUUUUCUCAUCUGUAAAAUGGAGAUAAGCAGCAGCUCUUUGUUAACUCAUGAAAAAGCCCUAAGUGUAGUGCAGGAACACAGUAAGGACCAGCAAGGGUUGGUUUCUUUCCUCCCUCUCCUUUCCCCACACAUGUCCUUGACAUUUAUCCCAGCCAGAUUUCACCUGUACAGACACCCUCCCGGGAGGUUGUACACAGAGCAACACUUGUCGAGGUUCUCUGAUGGACCCUGCCCAUGGGAUGUUUACACUUUCAAAGAGAAAACGAGUUAAUCCACAGGAAGCCUAAGUGAUAGAGGGGACUGAAGAAUUUCUAAACUAAUCCAGGAAAUAUUCUGGACUAAUCCAGGAAAUAUUCAGGCCCUUUCCCUCCAAUCAUGCCACCAGGCCAGCAACCUGCUUCAACACUAUCUCCCUUCACACGCACACGCUCUCCAAACUCCUUACCCAACAAUUCCCAGGAGCUGGUUUCUGACCUUGUUCUCCCCUGUCCAUAGCUCAAAAUGUCAGCAUAAGAAUGCUGUUCGGCCUUUCUAGGGAAGAACUAUUCUUGUUUUCAAUUUUUGGUAUUAAAAUAUUCAUUUUUUAGGAUACAAUAGUAGGAAACUAAUUUUUUACCUAUCCUGUGUCCUUACUUGACAAAAUAAGAUGCCACGAACCUUUAUGCCAGUUCCCAAAAUGACUUUUUGAAUUUUUAUUGAUAAAUCCUCAAAUCUGAGAGCACAACACUGUGCUCCCUAACCCUAAUCUCCCUCUCCCAGCAGGGAGUGAAUCCUGCUUCAUUUGCUCAGUGAGCACAAGGAAGGCACGGGCCCUGGGGUCCAUCCCUGCCAGGCCACUCCUUCCAGCCCUCUCUGUCAUUCCCACAGCAGCAGACAGGCAACAGCAUUCCCUCUUCCCAGCAUCGCUGAUGCCAGGCUGGGUACCACAACCUCUGCAUACCAACGGACUGGUCCCUACAUCCUGAUGCCAGAGGAGGUGGGUAACAUUGAGCCAUCACACUCACUCAAUUACCAGACCCCUGGGUCAGCUUAAGAAGGGAUGGAGUCCGGGCGCAGUGGCUCACACCUAUAACCCCAGCACUUUGGGAGGCCAAGGAGGGUGGGUCACCUGAGAUCAGGAGUUCAAGACCAGCCUGACCAACACGGAGAAACCCCGUCUCUACUAAAAUUACAAAAAAUUAGCCAGCCAUGGUGGCGCAUGCCUGUAAUCCCAGCUACUCGGGAGGCCGAGGCAGGAGAAUCACUUGAACCCAGGAGGCAGAGGUUGUGGUGAGCCGAGAUCAUGCCACUGCACUCCAACCUGGGCAACAAGAGCAAAACUCCAUCUCAAAAAAAAAAAAAAAAAAAAAAAGAAGGGAUGGUCUGUGUUCAGAGAGCAAUUUUCCUCUGAACCAAAUGAAGCUUCAUCAGACUGUGUGGACCCCACUCCGCCUGAACAAGUCACAGCCCAAUCUCCCCACUGAGAGGGGCCUAUGAGCAUCGCUGUGUCCUCUUGACCUUCUGUAAGUCUCUCGGGUUUGACCAGACCAUUCUAGGUAUUGUCCUACCACGCAGGGUAAUGCAAAGGGCGUGGCCAAGGUCCCUAAUGCUACAGCCAGUAAUAUACCCCAAACUCUCCACUCAAAAUCCUGUCCUGGGCUGGAAAGCAAAGUAAGUGGCAGAAACAUGAGGCCACCCCUGGACAUUCCCACUCUGGGAGAUAUCAGGCUCAGCUCCACAUGUAACCUGCAGCAUGUGUUAGAAACCAUCAGGAGAUCACCAAGGGCUGCUAAGGGAAAAGGUUGGGGAAGACAAUGACAGGCAGGCAGGCAGCAAAUACAGGCUAAGGGUUCACUAUGGACCAGGCAUACUGCUCAGGGUCAAGAAAGCAAAAAUGAGGAGGACAUGAUGCCCUGCCCUGAAGGGGCUCACAGAUGAGCAGGUGUGGCUUGGAGGAAGAGGAGAGGCCAGGACUAACACGUAUCAAGUCUGUUCAUCUUCUGAGUUCCCAGAGAAAAGAGCCCCACACUCACGGAGCUGACAAGCAAGCCAGAAAGUAGGGAAAUUUCAGGUUGGGAUAAGCCCUAGAAGAAAAUAAACAGAAAGUAAGAUGAAGCAAAACCAGGCGGGGGAUUUAGAGAAGGUGGUUGCAGAGGGCCUCUCUGAGGAGGUGACAUUGGAAAUGAGGUGGAGAAUGGAAUGAGAAGGAAACAUUCCAGGUAGAGAAGGGCAGGUGCAAAGGCAGGGACGCAAGAAAGGACUGAGAAUGUUCAAGGAGGGGCAGGGACGUUGAUGUGGGUGAGAUGUGGAGAGCAACAGGAGACAGGAGGCAGGCAAGGCUUUGCAGGCCUGGUGAGGAAUCCGGGUUAAAUAUGAGCAUUAUCCCCAUUUAGUAGAUGAGAAAACCAAAGCUCAGAGGUUAAGUAACUUGCCCAGGGUCGCAUAGCUGGUGAGUAGCCAAGCUGAGAUUCCAUCAUAUAGUCUGGUAACAAAGUCCAUGUUUUCUUUCCUCUACUCACUGAACAGGAACUGGCUGGCUGUGACAAAAUGUGAUAACUGUUAAGUGAUUAAUGACAAGUGGUUUAUGACAGAAGCCUGGGGUGGGGGGACACAGUUUGCCGGGGAAGUCUUCAUGGAGGAACUAACUGGGUCCCUAAGAAUGAGGAGGAUUUUGCCAGGUGGAAAAGUGGGGAGGACGAGCGCUCAAAACAAGGAGAAUAACUUGAGCAAGGCCAGGGAUGUGGAACAUGAGGCCUGGUGGGAGCUGAGAGGCAAUGGAGUUGCUGAGAGUAGAACUGGCGGGAGAUGGGCGUGGAAGGCAGGGUGGGCCAGACCAGAAGGGACCCUGAAUGCCUACCAAGGAUGUCUACAUUGAAUUUCUGGGCAACGAGGAGCCAAGGCAGGUUCUUCAACAGGCUGAGCUGUACUGUGCUUUAGAAAGAUGACUGUGAUGCAGGGGCCUGGAGAGGCUGGUGUGUGGGGAGGGGCAGCUAAAAUAAAUGGCCAGAGGCUGUAGAGAGAGGUGGGGCAGGACAGGGCCCGUCAAGCCCCAGAGGUAACCAAGACUGAGAAGGAGUUUCACUCUUGUUGCCCAGGCUGGAGUGCAAUGGUGCGAUCUUGGCUCACUGCAACCUCUGCCUCCCGAGUUCAAGCGAUUUUCCUGCCUCAGCCUCCUGAGUAGCUGAAACUACAGGCGUGUGCCACCACACCCAGCUAAUUUUUGUAUUUUUAGUAGAGACAGGUUUUCACCAUGUUGGCCAGCUGGUCUCGAACUCCUGAUCUCAGGUGACCCACCCUCCUUAGCCUCCCAAAGUGCUAGGAUUACAGGAAUGAGCUACCACACCCGGCCAAGAAAGUAUUUUUACAGACCCCAAGAAUGGGGUGUCCAGCUGGGCGUGGUGGCUCAUGCCUGUAAAAUCCCAGUACUUUGGGAGGCCAAGGUUGGCGGAUCACCUGAGGUCAGGAGUUCGAGACCAGCCUGGCCAGCAUGGUGAAACCCUGUCUCUACUAAAAAUACAAAAAAUUAGCUGGGCGUGGUGGGAGGAGCCCGUAAUCCCAGCUACUUGGGAGGCUGAGGCAGGAGAAUCGCUUGAACCCGAGAUGGCGCCAUUGCACUCCAAUCUGGGUGACGAGAGCGAAACUCCGUCUCAAAAAACAAAAAAAGAAUGCAGUGUCCCCAGCCCCAGGCCCCGCCCUGCUUCACCCCACCUCCCUCCACAGUUUGGCCUGGGUCCAUGGCUGGAGUCCCUUCCUAGCCUAUAGCCCCAGGCCCUGCUGCAGUGACCCCCAUCAGCCCAGGGCAUUCUGUUCAUGCCCCAUGACUCUCAUGAAGGAUGAGAGCAGGGUGCUGGCUUUACAGGAGUUGGGUGAACCUCAGAUACUGAGAGUGGACAACACUUACACAGCCCUGACCCGGAAAGGGGACCUGUUUUAAGUGCCUUAUUUUGACUCACUUCAACCCUACAAGGUACGUACUAUUACAUUCCAAGGAGGGGAAACUGAUGCACAGGGGACUUGCCCAAGGGAUGUGAACCCUGGCAGUCUGGUGCCAGGGUCUGUCCUCCGUACUCCACCUCAAGGUAGUCAUUGCUCUCUCUAGACUCUGAGUGUCUCUACCUGCUCUCCUCUCUCCUCUUUGCUUUCACAAUGAUCCUGCCAGAUGCUCUCUUUCCUGCCAGAAGGGAGGGCUACAUGUGAAAAUCUGGCAUCAGAGUCUCAGCCACUCCCUUCUCAGGAACCACCUGCCUGCCUGCCAUAGCAGGCGGUGAAGAGCCAGCCCUGACAUCAGACAGCUCCUGGAGGCAGGCAGGCCUGUCUGAACCCUCCUCCCUGCUGCAACAGAAAUGGCUACCAGCCCCACUGGCCAGGCCUACAGCAGGCUGUGCCUGGCCCCCACUUGACAGGCAGCACUCACCUCUCACCUCUGCUCUGGGGGCCCAGCUGAGGCAGCACCUGCCCAGGAUGUCAUGGUGCCAUAGUUGCACCAGCUCCAGGACCAGGGCAGCUGAACGCCCCUUUGCCCACUAGAUGGCACAAUGUGCACAGAAAUGUGGGUUGACCGCUUGGCCACCCUUUCCACCUGCAGAGGAACUGGAUUUCACCACACUCUGCAUUUAUCUCAUUUUUAUUCUCAUUCCUCAUCCUAACCCAUAGCCAACCAUUUGUAUGUGUCCUUGCAAAACAAGUGCAUGUAUUUUUUAGUUUCACAAUUAGUAAUAUAUAUAUAUAUAUAUAUAUAUAUAUAUAUAAAAAACACACACACACAUUAUAGAUAUAUUUCUUAAUUGUUUUCGCUCAGCACUGUAUUUUUAAACCUCAUUCAUGUUGCUGUGAGCACAUUUAGUUUCUGGUGGGCACCUUCCACAUUUAUUUACCCACUCUGAGGGCGACAGGCACCCAAGUUCCCUCCAACACCCCAGCAACCCUGCCAUGACCGUCCUUGACAGGAACCGUUACGGCUCGGCCUGAAAACCUAAGAAGCGGAAUUGCCAGGUUACAGGGCAUGCAGCGACUUCAUUUGGCACAGUACUGCCAGCCAGCUCUCAACCCACCCAGUUCUUGGAGGGUUCCUGGGGAAAAGACGCCCAGCCUCCUAGGACUAGUCAGCCUAGCACCCCUUCCUGUGGGGAGGGGCCCCAAUCCUUUCUGCUUGGGCCCAAGGGAGAUGGAGAGCCAGUGGCCUCUGUCAAGAGCGUCUUGCAAAGGUAAGACCUUAAGGUCCUACAUCUCCCCUGGGCAUUUUUUUUUUUAAGUAAAGGGCAAUGGCUGGCCUGUUAAAUCCCCCACAUCCCUCUCUUCAGGAGCCUUUCUGAUUACAAAGCCCAUUCUUUUUCUCCCUUCUCCUCCCACAGAACUAUCCCAGUUUCCUGCAUUUUCCCAUUUCUCUUCCUCUGCCCAUCCCUUCCAUGUGAACACCCUACACUUACUAGCUAUGUGUCUGUGGACAAGUUACUUGGACUCUCCCUCUUUGUCUAUAAUAUGGAAAUAAGUAAUAUCAUUACUAAUAAUAGGCACACAGGCAUAAUCCCUCCCUGGCCUCUGCACACAGCCCUCUCUCUAACUCAAUGCUGCCCCACUUCCCACAUAUAUUUAAGUAGCUCAAGCCCCUCCUCCCCCAGGAAGUCAUCCCUGAUUGAACCAGAUACAGUCCCAAUGUCCUUAAUCCAACUGUCACCUACUAAGAGCUCAAGUGAUUAUUUUUGGCUGAAAUUUGAAAUAACAAUAAUGGCUAUGAUUGAUACGCUGAGCACCUACUAUGUGCCAAGAAUUCUACGGCCUACUCCAUAUCCACACAAGAGCCCUGGAAGGCAGACAUUGUCAUCCUGACUUCUCAAAUGAGGAGGCUGAGACUCAGAGAGUAAGGUGACUUGCCUGAAGUCACUGGCAGGUAAUUGUCAAGGUCAGGACUGGAAUACAGGCUUGUCUGAUAUAAAAGCUCUACCCCACACCACCUCCUUCAGAAUCCCUUCCUCUUGCCCUCAUUCCCCCAUACACAUGGUAUGUGCAUUGCAUUUUAAAAUUAUUUGUGAUUUUAAGUACACAAAUAAUAGAGGGAUAUAGUCUCUUUAUUAAAAAAUUAAAGCACUACAGAGCUGUGUCACCUUUGACCAGGAACCUUCUACCUCCCUCCUCCCCAAAGGAACUCCCACUAUUAGCACUGUCUUGGGUAUCAUUCUUGUGCUUUUUUGCCUUUUUUUUUUUUUUUUUUUGAGACAGGGUAUCUUGCUCUGGUGCCCAGGCUGGAGUGCAGGGAAUGUAGUGGUGUGAUAUCACAGCUCACCACAACCUCUGCCUCCCAGGUUCAGGUGAUCUUCAUGCUCAGCCUCCCAAGUGGCUGGGAUUACAGGUGCACACCACCAGGCCCAGCUAAUUUUUGUAUUUUUAGUAGAGACGGGGUUUCACCAUGUUGGCCAGGCUGGUCUCGAACUCCUGGUCUCGAGUGACCACCCACCUCAGCCUCCCAAAGUGCUGGGAUUAUAGGUGUGAGCCACUGCACCCAGUCCCAUAAAUUUUUCUGUAUUUGUAGGAAAUAACGUUGUUAAGUGAUUUUACAUAAAUAAUGUGUGUGGGGCCGGGCACAGUGGUUCAUGCUUGUAAUCCCGGCACUUUGGGAGAACGAGGCGGGUGAAUCACUUGAGACCAGGAGUUCGGGACCGGCCUGGUCAACAUGGCGAAAACGCGUCUCUACUAAAAACACAAAAAUUAUCUGGGCAUGGUGGCCUGUGAUCCCAGCUAUGCAGGAGGUUGAGACACCUUGAACCCGGCGUAUGGAGGCAGAAGUGAGCUGAGAUUGCACCACUGCACUCCAGCCUGGGUGACAGAGUGAGACCCUGUCUUAAAAAAAAAAAAAAACAAAAAACCCACAAUAAUGUGUGAGGUAUAUCACUCUUCAACAGGCUUUUUUCCAUUCAACAAUAUGUCUUGGAGAGCUACAUCUAUCUAUACCUACACCAUCCUUUCUUGGAACAGUUGUGUGCUACUCCAUGGCACACAUGGACUUUGCUUAUUUACCCAGGCCCCUACUGAUGGCUAUUCAGAUUGUUUCCAAUUCUAUUAAAAACAGGCUGAAACGAGUAUGUACAGACCUCUCUGGGCACUGUGGUAUGUGCUCUGUGCAGGGCAUGGACAGUCAUCUCUUCUCAUCUGUCACAUUGUUAGCAAACACCUCUCACAGGGGUUCUCAACUUGGGAACCACUGGAGGUUUCAGGGGGACCUCAAAUCCCUGAAAUUGUACCCAGAGUAACCUAUGUAUGCCUCUGCAUAUAUGCACUAUCUGGGGAAAGGGUCCACAACCCUUAGCAAGUUUCAGGUUUUCGAAGGGCCCAUAAAAGCUAAGAAGUACCGACCUGUAUUAACUUUCAUACCUUUAUGUUCUGGCUCAUAUACGAUGUUAUGUGCUCAAAAGGACAAGCUGGGCAACAUAAAGCCUCUUCUCCCCCUUGUUCUGCCAACAAGGAUUCCAUCUAGUGCUGAAAGAAAGGACCUCUGGAGUCAGACCCAGGCCUAAAUCCUGGCUCCAUCCAUUACUAUGCAAUUUGGGGCAAUUAAUUAACAACCAAGCUUCAGUGUCCACAACACAAACUGAGGUGAGUAAAACCUGCUUCAUAGAGUUGUUGUAAGGAGUAAACAAAAUCCCUUGCGCCAAGCAUCUAGCAGGCACAGUAGGUACUGCUAUGCACCUGUGCCCUUGGUUUCCUUAAGUUCUGGCCAAGAGCUUUAGGCAACUGGGACCUUCUCAAGGGCAGGGACAAAGGCUCACCCAGAGUCUGCAACCCCCUUGAGCUCUGAGCCUAAAUCUGUCAUGGACAAAUUAGGAGUGAAUACACUGAGAAGAGUCCUUGUCCAGGCUCUCCAGGUCAUACCACAGCAGUGCCACUAGGAGGCUGCAGGACAGGCCCUGGGACUGGAGAGACUCUGCAGGAGCAGCUCUGACUAAAAUAGUGUGUGCAUGCAAGUGUGCAUGUGUUGUGUGCUCAUAUAUGUUAAGUGUGUGAAUGAGUAUGCAUGUCUGAGUAUGAGCCUGUGUCUGAGUGUGUAUGUGUUGGCAUGUGUAUGUGUGUACACGUGGGUUGGGAGAGGCAGAAACCAAAGGGAAGACAGGGUUUCCAGAGAGGCAGCAGCAGCCCUGGCUUCUCCCCUUGAGUGUCCAGGCUGCUGGAACAAAUAUUCCAUUACCUACUGUGUGUUAAGCACUGCUCCUGUCCUUGAACUCACAGGAAGACAAAAACAAGACAGUUAGGUUCAAGCAAUAUUUCCAGGUGCCAGCAUUGUUCUAGGCACUGGGGAUACAAAAAGACACAUUCCUUGCCCUCCACCAAGGUCAGACACGACACACCCCUGGAGUCGGUGGCACUUCAGUGAGUAGAGCCCUGUACAGGGCACCCAGGAAGAGCUGUGCUCAAGACCAGAAAUCGUGGAGAAAGGCAUAGUUGACCCUGUCCUGGGCAGCAAACCCUUUGAGAGGGGCCACAUCCCCUACCCUGCCCUGCAGACUCAGACCCAAAAUAUCUCCAGCCACCUUCUCUCCUCCCUCACUUGGCCACCAAGCAAUGCUGGACAGAACUCUUCUCUGUCGGGGGAGAUCACGGGGCGUAGCGCCCUCAGUACACUGAUAACCCUUUCUCCAUCCUCACCUUCCCUCUGGCAGCUGGCCCCACCUUUCCCCUCCCACCCUUCCCCUCACUCCCAGUAGACAACCCCCCUUUCCCAACUAACAUACAAGCUUACCUCUCUGAGCACCCAGUCCCCCCACCACGCUCAGGGAAUGAGGUGCCCUUUCACUUGCUCAGAUUCUCCUGCUUCCUGCUCUGCUGGGGUCUCCUUCUAUCAGUCACCACUGACCCCCACCCCGACUUCCACUCACAAACAACCACCAACUAUGGUGCAGUGGCACUGCAGCGCGGUUAGGCAGCCCAGCGUCACCGUUUCCCAGGCCUGGGACCUUAGACAAGUUACCCCACCUCUCUGAGCUUUGGUUCCUGUGCCUGUAGCACAGGGCGAAACCCAGUGAUGCUGACAGAACCUACCUCAUGAGGCCGCUGGGAAGAUAAGAUUAUACUGGGCACAUAAAAUGCUUAGGACUGGGCUAGGAAGUGUUUAGUGAAUGUGAUCACUGCUGCUGUAAGCCCCUGACAGCACCCACAGUAUCUGAAGGGCACAAAGCCUCUAGUAGAUGGUCAGAAAUAGAGUCCAGGGAUGGCAUCAAAUAGUUGUUUACUUUCCCCAUCAAAUCAACCUUCGUCCAAGUCAGAUAAGCCCCAGGGGUCCCCCCAGGGGUCUCCAUGCAGAGCCUAGGCUCUCCAUCAGGCAGCCUGAUCCCAAUUCCCUGGGUCUGGGCGUCACCGGACAGCCUUCAGGGUAAAAUGCAGAUCAUACUAGUGGGCCUUCUCUUGAUGAUAUUGAUCUCUUAGUAACUUACUGUGCCAACAUAUUCUUACCAAAGACCCCCUCGAAACAAGGGGAGAACCACCUGUCUACAAGAAGAGUUGCUCAGGUGUCUCCCAUCCUAAAAUCCUUAUGUCGACCUCCAGUUACAGCCCAUCUCUCUCCUUCCCUUCUCAGCCAAGCUUCUUGCAGAAGUCACCUGCACUUCCCCCUUCUCACCCCACCACAGGCUGCCUGACCCCACUGCUUCACCAGUGAUGGCCUGUAGCCACUCCACCUGUCCCUCCACAGGCCUCACUUCAUCUGUUGAGGUUGACCACUUCCUCUUGGAACAUCACCUCCCUGGCUUCCAGGACUCCACUUCCCCAGUCCUCCUCCCAUCUCCUUGACUGUCUUCUUGACUCCCCACCCAGCUUCUUCCUGCCCACCUGCCUCCUAAACAUCGGCUUCUCCAGCGCUCCACCCUGGCUUACUGCGCCUCUCUCCCCAGCCUCUCGUUGGGUGACCUCAUGAUUAGAAGCACCGUGCAUUUCUGAAGCCUCUCAAGUCUCUCUCCCUCUAUUCUCACCCCCGACCUUAUGUUUGGUGUACCGUACUGUCAACAAAACACUUGCAACUAAACAAGCAGAAAAGAAUUCCCUGCCUUCUCCUCUCUCCCCUCCUAAGAUCCUGAACUCCAUAAAGAGCCCCAUCCAUUCCACCAAGUCAGAGCCCUAGAAGGUACCCUCACCUCCAUCCACCUCCAAACUUUCACCAGAUCCUGCCUAUUCCACCUCAGGGGAAGUUUAUCAAUUGAGUAGCCCAACAGGUUUAAGACUGCAGGUGCAGGGAGGCAUGGAUGCGCUUUAUUUCUUGGACAUGGCUCAGAGGAGGGGCAGCUCCAGAGCACAAGGGCAGGGCGAGAGGCAGCACAGGCCAGCAGGAGAGAAAGCCCUGUAGCCCAGAUCACACACAGUCUCACCAGACCCCCAGCUGUGCAUUGGCUGCUGCAGGCAUCUCCCCUCCCUGCCUCAGCCCAGG
RNAcentral lists this long non-coding RNA (11927 nucleotides) under Homo sapiens (human). RNAcentral describes it as "HSALNT0334394". The record is from RNAcentral. Lineage: Eukaryota; Metazoa; Chordata; Mammalia; Primates; Hominidae.